GCGGGGCUGCCCGGUUCGUCAGGGAAAUGUAUCCCCGGGCCCUUAUUGAUCCGUCCGGGAGCUGUUCCUGACCUGGCCCGUGGGCCAGGACAAACGGCGCCCACCUACAUUGUAGGUGUCCCGGGAUCGAAAACCCAACGGCCAUGGCGGCUCCGCA
Molecule: non-coding RNA, 157 nt
Filed under: Allobosea sp.
Lineage: Bacteria; Pseudomonadati; Pseudomonadota; Alphaproteobacteria; Hyphomicrobiales; Alloboseaceae
Description: 6S RNA
Rfam family: 6S / SsrS RNA
About the family: E. coli 6S RNA was the first non coding RNA to be sequenced, but its function was unknown until recently. It consists of 184 nucleotides that fold into an extended hairpin structure with a large single-stranded internal bulge.
Source: RNAcentral